GAGUCUCACCACAUCCUGACAUGAGGAAAAAGACUUUAUUGAAGACUACAAUGAGAAAAACUAUCAGACAGCAGACGGCUGCAUUCAAGUCUGUAGCUGCUGAAUUCAUGGAUGAAUCAUCUGGCACUAGAGAGGAAGACUAUCAAACAUCCACGUCAGCUGAUGGAGGUCCAAGAGUCUCACCAAACAAACAACCUACAGAGUGAAGACCUCGAAUCUGAUUGGACGGCCUCCUAUUCAGCCACAUGUGUGAACAAAUGCCUCUAAGCUGAUUUGUUUUCUAAAAUAAAUCUAGUUUGAGUCCUAA
This is a long non-coding RNA of Amphiprion ocellaris (clown anemonefish), 307 nucleotides long. RefSeq lists it as uncharacterized. Lineage: Eukaryota; Metazoa; Chordata; Actinopteri; Pomacentridae. The transcript is spliced from 2 exons. The record is from RefSeq and is a predicted model, not a curated record.